RNAcentral lists this ribosomal RNA (750 nucleotides) under unidentified microorganism. RNAcentral describes it as "bacterial SSU rRNA". It matches the Rfam family "Bacterial small subunit ribosomal RNA", at positions 53 to 784 of the family's 1533-position model. The record is from RNAcentral.
ACAUGCAGUCGAGCGAAUGGAUUANGAGCUUGCUCUUAUGAAGUUAGCGGCGGACGGGUGAGUAACACGUGGGUAACCUACCCAUAAGACUGGGAUAACUCCGGGAAACCGGGGCUAAUACCGGAUAAUAUUUUGAACUGCAUAGUUCGAAAUUGAAAGGCGGCUUCGGCUGUCACUUAUGGAUGGACCCGCGUCGCAUUAGCUAGUUGGUGAGGUAACGGCUCACCAAGGCGACGAUGCGUAGCCGACCUGAGAGGGUGAUCGGCCACACUGGGACUGAGACACGGCCCAGACUCCUACGGGAGGCAGCAGUAGGGAAUCUUCCGCAAUGGACGAAAGUCUGACGGAGCAACGCCGCGUGAGUGAUGAAGGCUUUCGGGUCGUAAAACUCUGUUGUUAGGGAAGAACAAGUGCUAGUUGAAUAAGCUGGCACCUUGACGGUACCUAACCAGAAAGCCACGGCUAACUACGUGCCAGCAGCCGCGGUAAUACGUAGGUGGCAAGCGUUAUCCGGAAUUAUUGGGCGUAAAGCGCGCGCAGGUGGUUUCUUAAGUCUGAUGUGAAAGCCCACGGCUCAACCGUGGAGGGUCAUUGGAAACUGGGAGACUUGAGUGCAGAAGAGGAAAGUGGAAUUCCAUGUGUAGCGGUGAAAUGCGUAGAGAUAUGGAGGAACACCAGUGGCGAAGGCGACUUUCUGGUCUGUAACUGACACUGAGGCGCGAAAGCGUGGGGAGCAAACAGGAUUAGAUA